RNAcentral lists this ribosomal RNA (1423 nucleotides) under metagenome. Its description in RNAcentral is "SSU rRNA". It matches the Rfam family "Eukaryotic small subunit ribosomal RNA", at positions 51 to 1374 of the family's 1831-position model. The record is from RNAcentral.
AUGCAUGUCUAAGUAUAAGCUUUUAUACGGUGAAACUGCGGAUGGCUCAUUAUAUCAGUUAUAGUUUAUUUGAUAGUGCCUUUACUUGGAUAACUGUUGGAAUCCGAGAGCUAAUACAUGCAAAUGGCUCCGACUCGGUGCAAGCCUGGAAGGAGUGUAUUUAUUAGAUGUGAAACCAAUGCGGGGUAUUCCAAACUGUGCGUUCUCGAAAGGGGGCGUACGGGCUCCGGUUUUAUGGUGAAUCAUGAUAACUCUGCGAAUCGCAUGGCCUUGCGCCGGCGAUGAUUCAUUCAAAUUUCUGCCCUAUCAACUUGACGAUAGUAUAGAGGACUAUCGUGGUUUUAACGGGUGACGGAGCAUUAGGGUGCGAUGCCGGAGAGGGAGCCUGAGAAACGGCUACCACGUCUACGGGCGGCAGCAGGCGCGUAAAUUACCCAAUCCUGACACAGGGAGGUAGUGACAAUAAAUAACAAUGCUCGCCCCGACAAGGGGUGAGCAAUUGGAAUGAGUACGACUCAAAACCGCUAACGAGUAGCAAUUAGAGGGCAAGUCUGGUGCCAGCAGCCGCGGUAAUUCCAGCUCUAAUAGCGUAUUUUAAAGUUGUUGCAGUUAAAACGCUCGUAGUUGGACUUUAGAACUGGGCGUGGUUGGUCCGCGUUAAGUGAGUACUGCCACGUCGGUUCUUCCUUAUGAGAUACUUCCCUGUUUGUCCUUCGCUGGGCGAGCAGGAGCAGGCGCAGUGCGGUGUUGGCGUCUUUACCGGCGUCGGUGUGGCGUUGCGCCCGGGUUCUCAUUCGUUUACUUUGAAUAAAUUAGAGUGUUCAAAGCAGGCUAUUUAACGCCUUGAAUAAUCUAGCAUGGGAUAAUGGAAUAGGCUGUCGGCUUAUUUCGUUGGUUUCUAAGCCAGACAGAAUGAUUAAGAGGGACAGUUGGGGGUUUUCGUAUUCAAUUGUCAGAGGUGAAAUUCUUGGAUUUGUUGAAGACGAACUACUGCGAAAGCAUCAACCAAGGAUGUUUUCAUUAAUCAAGAACGAAAGUUAGGGGAUCGAAGACGAUCAGAUACCGUCGUAGUCUUAACCAUAAACGAUGCCGACCAGCCAUUCGGAGACGUUACAUUUUAUGACUCCCCGAGCAGCUUGAGAGAAAUCAGAGUGUUUGGGUUCUGGGGGGAGUAUGAUCGCAAGGGGGAAACUUAAAGGAAUUGACGGAAGGGCACCACAAGGAGUGGAGCCUGCGGCUUAAUUUGACCCAACACGGGGAAGCUUACCAGGUCCAGACAAAGUAAGGAUUGACAGAUUGAGCGCUCUUUCUUGAUUCUUUGGGUGGUGGUGCAUGGCCGCUCUUAGUUGGUGGAGUGAUUUGUCUGGUUAAUUCCGAUAACGAACGAGACCUUAACCUGCUAAAUAGUCACUGGAAACUGCUG